UGGGGAAUAUUGCACAAUGGACGGAAGUCUGAUGCAGCAACGCCGCGUGCGGGAUGACGGCCUUCGGGUUGUAAACCGCUUUUUCUCAUGACGAAGUUUUUUGACGGUAGUGGGGGAAGAAGCACCGGCUAACUACGUGCCAGCAGCCGCGGUGAUACGUAGGGUGCGAGCGUUGUCCGGAAUUAUUGGGCGUAAAGAGCUUGUAGGCGGUUUGUCGCGUCGAUAGUGCAAACUCAGUGCUUAACGCUGAGCCUGCUGUUGAUACGGGCAGACUAGAGGGAGGUAGGGGGGAAUGGAAUUCCCGGUGGAGCGGUGGAAGGCGCAGAUAUCGGGGGGAACACCGAUGGCGAAGGCGGUUCUCUGGGCCUUUCCUGACGCUGAGAAGCGAAAGCGUGGGGAGCGAACAGG
Molecule: ribosomal RNA, 408 nt
Filed under: Fusobacteriota bacterium
Lineage: Bacteria; Fusobacteriati; Fusobacteriota
Description: Fusobacteria bacterium partial 16S ribosomal RNA
Rfam family: Bacterial small subunit ribosomal RNA
Source: RNAcentral